GUUUCUUUCUUUUUUAAAGCCAAAACCAGUAGCCAUUCUCCCCCAACUUGAAAAAUACCCAUUUCUCCAUUUUUAGACUUUGAGAGCUCGAAAAUAGGUGAUUUCAAGUGGGUUUUCGCAAGGAAUUCAUUGGAUUGUGGUGAUUUGGAGCGUGCUCGGAAGGGUAAAACUCAAAUUUGAGUUACUAGUUGAAGUGUUUUGAGGCAAGUGACUUCUAAACUUUGUUAAACUCUUAGACUACACAUGACUACUUUCCUAAUUGUGUUGGGGAGUAAUGGGGAUUGAGGAUGAGUUUUAUUUGUUGAUUGAAAUUGAAAGAUGGGGAAUAAAACGAGCUAAAUGUGUUAUAUGUGACUUGAAUUUGUUGAAUAAGUCAUGUGAUAACUGAUAUUGAGGGGAUAGGAGAGCAUGAGUAGGCUAUGAUUGAUACAGACAUUGAUGUUGAAACAGAUGAUGUGUAAUACUAUGAUGUGAUCGUGAUAUGAUUGUGAUUGAUGACAUGUGCAUAUUCAUUAUUCAUCCCAUGUGUGAACUAUCUGUUGCAUGAGUUCUGAGACACUGAUAUGAGGAUGGAUGGAUAUGAGACACAAUUGAGACUAGCUCCGGCUAGAGAUAUAUGAGAUGGACUAGCUCCGGCUAGCGAUUUGGAUGCCGAUGGGAUCUGGUUCCGGCGGUGAUACAUGGUCCAUGUGUGGCCCCCAUGGGUUCUGAUUUGAGUAUUCAGCGCGGACUGAUUACGUCAACAGAUGUGUAUCUUAGGACAGACAUGCAUCACGACUACAUGACAUCAUUAUUGCAUUUUGCAUCGCAUUUGCCUUAUCUUUGUCUGUGAUGUGUGGAUUGUAUCGGUUUACCCUUCUUAUGUGAAAUUUGAUCUACUUGCUCUUAUUUGUUGAUCUGAGGUUGAUGAGGAUAUACUGUUGGUUCUGGCUGUUGAAUAUGAUCUGUUUAGUAUAGGUUGGUUGGUUUGCUGCUAGAUUGAAGUUUCGGUGGUUCGGUUGGGAUUGAAAGGAGUUGUUUGUAGCUGCUAGUUUAGCUUAGUUUAGUGUUACUUGCGAGUACCUGUUGCUUUUGGUACUCACCCUUGCUUCUACACAGUUGUGUAGGUUGACAGCUCUAUCAGAUCCGGCU
This 1131-nucleotide long non-coding RNA is filed under the name Solanum tuberosum (potato). RNAcentral's name for it is "long non-coding RNA (STUB_LNC000408)". The record is from RNAcentral. Lineage: Eukaryota; Viridiplantae; Streptophyta; Magnoliopsida; Solanales; Solanaceae.